CACUCCUGCGGGAGGCAGCAGUGGGGAAUAUUGCACAAUGGGCGCAAGCCUGAUGCAGCCAUGCCGCGUGUGUGAAGAAGGCCUUCGGGUUGUAAAGCACUUUCAGCGGGGAGGAAGGCAAUGCGGUUAAUAACCGUGUUGAUUGACGUUACCCGCAGAAGAAGCACCGGCUAACUCCGUGCCAGCAGCCGCGGUAAUACGGAGGGUGCAAGCGUUAAUCGGAAUUACUGGGCGUAAAGCGCACGCAGGCGGUCUGUCAAGUCGGAUGUGAAAUCCCCGGGCUCAACCUGGGAACUGCAUUCGAAACUGGCAGGCUUGAGUCUUGUAGAGGGGGGUAGAAUUCCAGGUGUAGCGGUGAAAUGCGUAGAGAUCUGGAGGAAUACCGGUGGCGAAGGCGGCCCCCUGGACAAAGACUGACGCUCAGGUGCGAAAGCGUGGGGAGCAAACAGGAUUAGAAACCCUAGUAGUCCCAUG
This 474-nucleotide ribosomal RNA is filed under the name uncultured organism. RNAcentral describes it as "partial 16S ribosomal RNA". It matches the Rfam family "Bacterial small subunit ribosomal RNA", at positions 334 to 799 of the family's 1533-position model. The record is from RNAcentral.